GAUGAACGCUGGCGGCGUGCCUAAUACAUGCAAGUCGAGCGAACAGACGAGGAGCUUGCUCCUCUGACGUUAGCGGCGGACGGGUGAGUAACACGUGGAUAACCUACCUAUAAGACUGGGAUAACUUCGGGAAACCGGAGCUAAUACCGGAUAACAUGUUGAACCGCAUGGUUCAACAGUGAAAGACGGUCUUGCUGUCACUUAUAGAUGGAUCCGCGCCGCAUUAGCUAGUUGGUAAGGUAACGGCUUACCAAGGCAACGAUGCGUAGCCGACCUGAGAGGGUGGUCGGACACCCUGGAAGUGAGACACGGUCCAGACUCCUACGGGAGGCCGCAGUAGGGAAUCUUCCGCAAUGGGCGAAAGCCUGACGGAGCAAAGCGGGGUGAGUGAAGAAGGUCUUCGGAUCGUAAAACUAUGUUAUUAGGGAAGAACAAAUGUGUAAGUAACUAUGCACGUCUUGACGGUACCUAAUCAGAAAGCCACGGCUAACUACGUG
This 497-nucleotide ribosomal RNA is filed under the name uncultured bacterium. RNAcentral describes it as "partial 16S ribosomal RNA". It matches the Rfam family "Bacterial small subunit ribosomal RNA", at positions 28 to 507 of the family's 1533-position model. The record is from RNAcentral.